GGGUUGGUCGUUCAACGGGAGGACGCCUGCCUUGCAAGCAGGAGAUUCGGGUUCGACUCCCGGCCGAUCCA
This 71-nucleotide transfer RNA is filed under the name Gemmataceae bacterium. RNAcentral describes it as "tRNA-Ala". It matches the Rfam family "tRNA". Rfam says of the family: Transfer RNA (tRNA) molecules are approximately 80 nucleotides in length. Lineage: Bacteria; Pseudomonadati; Planctomycetota; Planctomycetia; Gemmatales; Gemmataceae. RNAcentral also lists the same sequence under 1 other name. The record is from RNAcentral.